This 217-nucleotide long non-coding RNA is filed under the name Elaeis guineensis (African oil palm). RNAcentral's name for it is "long non-coding RNA (EGUI_LNC015335)". The record is from RNAcentral. Lineage: Eukaryota; Viridiplantae; Streptophyta; Magnoliopsida; Arecales; Arecaceae.
GCAGGUACAGUAAGAAAGUCUCAAGAACUCGAGGCAACAAGGCUCAAGCUAGCAUUAUCGAAGUGGUAAUACUCUGUAGCGAAGCAAUUGGCUCUCUCAAGCAUCCGAUGCACAAGCACAACUUUAGCAUUGAAGAUCAGGCUUUUUCUAGACAACCACAUCAGAUAGGCAACGUAUGCCAUCCUAUAUCCCUAGGGUGAACCCUCGGCCAUGCUCC